AGGGGCAUAGUUCAACGGUAGAAUAGAGCUCUCCAAAAGCUUUGAUGGGGGUUCGAUUCCCUCUGCCCCUGCCA
Molecule: transfer RNA, 74 nt
Filed under: Candidatus Roizmanbacteria bacterium RIFOXYA1_FULL_37_12
Lineage: Bacteria; Candidatus Roizmaniibacteriota
Also listed under: 6 other names
Description: tRNA-Trp
Rfam family: tRNA
About the family: Transfer RNA (tRNA) molecules are approximately 80 nucleotides in length.
Source: RNAcentral